Molecule: long non-coding RNA, 215 nt
Filed under: Elaeis guineensis (African oil palm)
Lineage: Eukaryota; Viridiplantae; Streptophyta; Magnoliopsida; Arecales; Arecaceae
Description: long non-coding RNA (EGUI_LNC010067)
Source: RNAcentral
GAGCUAAUCUAGUCGUGCAUGUCAUCAUGAGUUGUCCACUUAUAUUAGUUUCUUGUUAUUGUAGAUUAAUCUGCAUAAUAGUAUUCUCACUUUCACUGCAUGACAUACUUGAUGCCAACAAAUUGAUCGAAUCUAAUUAUGUAGAUUAGUUGAGAAACUUGAGAAUUGUUCACAUACAGGAGAAAGUCUCCUAUAUUCUAGAUACCCCUGCACCC